GAUGAACGCUGGCGGCGUGCCUAAUACAUGCAAGUCGAACGCAUAGCGAAAUGUUCUUUCACCUUUCAAGUGAGUGGCGAACGGUUGAGUAACACGUGGACAACCUCCCUCAAUUCUUGGGUUAACAUUUGGAAACAGAUGCUGUUACCGAAUAUAACUUAUUCUCGCAUGACACAAAGUUAAAAGGCGCUUCCGCGUCUCCUAGAGAUGGUUCCGCGGUGCAUUAGUUAGUUGGUGGGGUAAAGGCCUACCAAGACAAUGAUGCAUAGCCGAGUUGAGAGGCUGAUCGGCCACAUUGGAACUGAGACACGGCCCAAACUCCUACGGGAGGCUGCAGUAGGGAAUAUUCCACAAUGGGCGAAAGCCUGAUGGAGCAACGCCGCGUGUGUGAUGAAGGCUUUCGGGUCGUAAAGCACUGUUGUAUGGGAAGAACAGCUAGAAUAGGAAAUGAUUUUAGUUUGACGGUACCAUAAGAGAAAGGGACGGCUAAAUACGUG
Molecule: ribosomal RNA, 497 nt
Filed under: uncultured bacterium
Lineage: Bacteria
Description: partial 16S ribosomal RNA
Rfam family: Bacterial small subunit ribosomal RNA
Source: RNAcentral